CCCGGGCCUUGUACACACCGCCCGUCACACCACGAAAGUCGGCAACACCCGAAGUCAGUGGCCCAACCCGCAAGGGAGGGAGCUGCCGAAGGUGGGGGUUGGUGAUUGGGGUG
RNAcentral lists this ribosomal RNA (113 nucleotides) under uncultured bacterium. RNAcentral describes it as "partial 16S ribosomal RNA". It matches the Rfam family "Bacterial small subunit ribosomal RNA", at positions 1373 to 1482 of the family's 1533-position model. The record is from RNAcentral.